UAAAAUUUGUACUAAAAUUUUAUAUAAAAAUUAUUGUCAACAUUUCAUGCAUCCAACUUUAACUUGCAGCCUUCAGAGUACAGUCAGUGUGAUGUUUUGCCCAGAGACUGCUGUUAUCCCAAAUGAGAAGGAAUGUGUGGUACUAUUAGAAAUGAAUACAUCAAGCUAUAGUCAAACACCAGGAGAUAAAUGGAAAGGAGCAAGUUAGAAAACCACCCUGCUAACUCCCUCAUGCACUUGUGACAAAGACCUUCCCUCAAUCAAAUCAUGGACACAACUACUUCCUACCAUUCUUUUCAUCAUUCUCUCAGGCCAUUAUUUGCAAGUCAAGUGGGUAAUUCGUAGGUGUGUGCUCAUUAAGAACCACUGCAUGGAGUCCUUCUCUCUUUGAAUUAGACAUCAACAAACAGAACUGACUUCUAAAAUAAUUGGUGAGAAUUAAUUUUACUACCAAAUAGAAAUACUAUAGAGGAGAAUUUGGAGAAUGAUUAAGAAGUGCCUAUACUGAAAAUCGUCAUACUACAUAUUAUAUUAUAUGUGGGUGAUGUAAUGUUAUACAUCUCAUAUUCAAGACUAUGUUAACAACAAACUUUUUGGUAAUGAAUUACAAUAGCUUAACUGGUAAUUCUUUUUUGACUCAUG
This 642-nucleotide long non-coding RNA is filed under the name Mustela putorius furo (domestic ferret). Its description in RNAcentral is "lncRNA (ENSMPUG00000027807.1)". Lineage: Eukaryota; Metazoa; Chordata; Mammalia; Carnivora; Mustelidae. The record is from RNAcentral.